This 16-nucleotide small RNA is filed under the name Arabidopsis thaliana (thale cress). Its description in RNAcentral is "ATSL074670". Lineage: Eukaryota; Viridiplantae; Streptophyta; Magnoliopsida; Brassicales; Brassicaceae. The record is from RNAcentral.
ACAACCAACAGAAGAA